UCUGAGAAGUUCUUGUGGUGGUCUG
Molecule: non-coding RNA, 25 nt
Filed under: Mus musculus (house mouse)
Lineage: Eukaryota; Metazoa; Chordata; Mammalia; Rodentia; Muridae
Source: RNAcentral